UACGGAGGGUGCGAGCGUUGUCCGGAAUCACUGGGCGUAAAGCGAACGUAGGCGGUUUCUUAAGUUUGGUCUUAAAGACCGGGGCUCAACCCCGGGAAUGGAUCGAAAACUGGGAGACUGGAGGACGUCAGAGGAAAGUGGAAUUCCGAGUGUAGCGGUGAAAUGCGUAGAUAUUCGGAGGAACACCAGUGGCGAAAGCGACUUUCUGGGACGUUCCUGACGCUGAGGUUCGAAAGCUCGGGGAGCAAACAGG
Molecule: ribosomal RNA, 253 nt
Filed under: uncultured bacterium
Lineage: Bacteria
Description: partial 16S ribosomal RNA
Rfam family: Bacterial small subunit ribosomal RNA
Source: RNAcentral